AUUGAACGCUGGCGGCAUGCUUACACAUGCAAGUCGAACGGUAACAGGUCUUCGGAUGCUGACGAGUGGCGAACGGGUGAGUAAUACAUCGGAACGUGCCCGAUCGUGGGGGAUAACGCAGCGAAAGCUGUGCUAAUACCGCAUACGAUCUACGGAUGAAAGCGGGGGAUCGCAAGACCUCGCGCGGACGGAGCGGCCGAUGGCAGAUUAGGUAGUUGGUGGGAUAAAAGCUUACCAAGCCGACGAUCUGUAGCUGGUCUGAGAGGACGACCAGCCACACUGGGACUGAGACACGGCCCAGACUCCUACGGGAGGCAGCAGUGGGGAAUUUUGGACAAUGGGGGAAACCCUGAUCCAGCCAUGCCGCGUGCAGGAUGAAGGCCUUCGGGUUGUAAACUGCUUUUGUACGGAACGAAAAGGUCCUUUCUAAUAAAGAGGGCUCAUGACGGUACCGUAAGAAUAAGCACCGGCUAACUACGUG
RNAcentral lists this ribosomal RNA (481 nucleotides) under uncultured bacterium. Its description in RNAcentral is "bacterial SSU rRNA". It matches the Rfam family "Bacterial small subunit ribosomal RNA", at positions 30 to 507 of the family's 1533-position model. The record is from RNAcentral.